This 168-nucleotide unclassified non-coding RNA is filed under the name uncultured Herpotrichiellaceae. RNAcentral's name for it is "sequence contains ITS2". Lineage: Eukaryota; Fungi; Ascomycota; Eurotiomycetes; Chaetothyriales; Herpotrichiellaceae. The record is from RNAcentral.
UCCUCCCUCAAACCCCGGGUUUGGUGUUGGACCGCUGUCGGGGGGUCAUCCCCCAACUGGUCCCAAAGACAAUGACGGCGUCCGUGGGACCCCUCUGCGCAACGAGCUUUCACGAGCACGCGCAAAAAGGACCCCACGGGCCGGUCUCCCCCUUUAUCUAUUUCUAAA